GGCCUCUUAGCGCAGUUGGCUAGAGCGUUGGCUGUACUAAAGCCUUCCCCUUGCUGGCGUGGGUUCAAAUCCCACCGAGGCCG
Molecule: transfer RNA, 83 nt
Filed under: Schistocephalus solidus
Lineage: Eukaryota; Metazoa; Platyhelminthes; Cestoda; Diphyllobothriidea; Diphyllobothriidae
Rfam family: tRNA
About the family: Transfer RNA (tRNA) molecules are approximately 80 nucleotides in length. Their secondary structure includes four short double-helical elements and three loops (D, anti-codon, and T loops). Further hydrogen bonds mediate the characteristic L-shaped molecular structure. tRNAs have two regions of fundamental functional importance: the anti-codon, which is responsible for specific mRNA codon recognition, and the 3' end, to which the tRNAs corresponding amino acid is attached (by aminoacyl-tRNA synthetases). tRNAs cope with the degeneracy of the genetic code in two manners: having more than one tRNA (with a specific anti-codon) for a particular amino acid; and 'wobble' base-pairing, i.e. permitting non-standard base-pairing at the 3rd anti-codon position.
Source: Rfam by way of RNAcentral